This 372-nucleotide ribosomal RNA is filed under the name uncultured organism. RNAcentral describes it as "bacterial SSU rRNA". It matches the Rfam family "Bacterial small subunit ribosomal RNA", at positions 526 to 896 of the family's 1533-position model. The record is from RNAcentral.
CGUAGGGGGCAAGCGUUGUCCGGAUUUAUUGGGCGUAAAGAGCGUGUAGGCGGCUAGGUAGGUCCGUUGUGAAAACUCGAGGCUCAACCUCGAGACGCCGGUGGAAACCAUCUAGCUAGAGUCCGGAAGAGGAGAGUGGAAUUCCUGGUGUAGCGGUGAAAUGCGCAGAUAUCAGGAAGAACACCCGUGGCGAAGGCGGCUCUCUGGUACGUGACUGACGCUGAGACGCGAAAGCGUGGGGAGCGAACAGGAUUAGAUACCCUGGUAGUCCACGCUGUAAACGAUGGGUGCUAAGUGUGGGCGGUGUCGACUCCGUCCGUGCCGAAGCUAACGCAUUAAGCACCCCGCCUGGGGAGUACGGCCGCAAGGCUA